CCUCCUUUGUAGAAUGUCUUGUGAGAGCUUUGCUUUCACUCAGGGAGAUUCAUAUGCCUACGUAAAGAAACGGGGAUAGAAUAGGUCUUGCUUUCUCUAAACCAUCUUUGGUCACAUUUCUGGAGCAAAGAAAAGAGCCUUGGGAUGUCAAGACACAAGUUACUUUAGCCAUCCACACAGG
Long non-coding RNA from Nannospalax galili (Upper Galilee mountains blind mole rat), 181 nucleotides. RefSeq lists it as uncharacterized. NCBI's taxonomy places the organism in Eukaryota, Metazoa, Chordata, Mammalia, Rodentia, Spalacidae. The record is from RefSeq and is a predicted model, not a curated record. The transcript has 2 exons.